This 271-nucleotide ribosomal RNA is filed under the name uncultured bacterium. RNAcentral describes it as "partial 16S ribosomal RNA". It matches the Rfam family "Bacterial small subunit ribosomal RNA", at positions 524 to 794 of the family's 1533-position model. The record is from RNAcentral.
UACGGAGGGGGCUAGCGUUGUUCGGAAUUACUGGGCGUAAAGCGCACGUAGGCGGCUUUACAAGUCAGGGGUGAAAGCCCGCGGCUCAACCGCGGAAUUGCCCUUGAGACUGUAUCGCUUGAACACGGGAGAGGUGAGUGGAAUUCCGAGUGUAGAGGUGAAAUUCGUAGAUAUUCGGAAGAACACCAGUGGCGAAGGCGGCUCACUGGACCGUAGUUGACGCUGAGGUGCGAAAGCGUGGGGAGCAAACAGGAUUAGAUACCCGAGUAGU